This 684-nucleotide ribosomal RNA is filed under the name Klebsiella variicola. RNAcentral describes it as "bacterial SSU rRNA". It matches the Rfam family "Bacterial small subunit ribosomal RNA", at positions 37 to 708 of the family's 1533-position model. Lineage: Bacteria; Pseudomonadati; Pseudomonadota; Gammaproteobacteria; Enterobacterales; Enterobacteriaceae. The record is from RNAcentral.
UGAAAAGGGGACAACCCUACACAUGUCAGUCGAGCGGUAGGCACAGAGAGCUUGCUCUCGGGUGACGAGCGGCGGACGGGUGAGUAAUGUCUGGGAAACUGCCUGAUGGAGGGGGAUAACUACUGGAAACGGUAGCUAAUACCGCAUAACGUCGCAAGACCAAAGUGGGGGACCUUCGGGCCUCAUGCCAUCAGAUGUGCCCAGAUGGGAUUAGCUAGUAGGUGGGGUAACGGCUCACCUAGGCGACGAUCCCUAGCUGGUCUGAGAGGAUGACCAGCCACACUGGAACUGAGACACGGUCCAGACUCCUACGGGAGGCAGCAGUGGGGAAUAUUGCACAAUGGGCGCAAGCCUGAUGCAGCCAUGCCGCGUGUGUGAAGAAGGCCUUCGGGUUGUAAAGCACUUUCAGCGGGGAGGAAGGCGGUGAGGUUAAUAACCUCGCCGAUUGACGUUACCCGCAGAAGAAGCACCGGCUAACUCCGUGCCAGCAGCCGCGGUAAUACGGAGGGUGCAAGCGUUAAUCGGAAUUACUGGGCGUAAAGCGCACGCAGGCGGUCUGUCAAGUCGGAUGUGAAACCCCGGGCUCAACCUGGGAACUGCAUUCGAAACUGGCAGGCUAGAGUCUUGUAGAGGGGGGUAGAAUUCCAGGUGUAGCGGUGAAAUGCGUAGAGAUCUGGAGGAAUA